RNAcentral lists this small RNA (218 nucleotides) under Drosophila pseudoobscura pseudoobscura. Its description in RNAcentral is "GA32212". The record is from RNAcentral. Lineage: Eukaryota; Metazoa; Arthropoda; Insecta; Diptera; Drosophilidae.
CUUUGAACCACUUGAUUGCGGUACUAAAUUAAAUUAUGGCAUUACUUCAUUCAUUUUAGAUCUAUCUCCAGUUUGUUUGAGAAAUAUUCGAUUUUAAUGAACUCUGAAAUGGUAUUGUAUACUAAAUUAAUUAGUCCACAUCAUACGCGUUUUGUCUAACAUAAAGAUGUAUUUUAUAUAAUAAAACCAUAUUUUGACCGCCGCGUCGGUGGCCCGUA